This 404-nucleotide ribosomal RNA is filed under the name uncultured Pseudomonadota bacterium. RNAcentral's name for it is "bacterial SSU rRNA". It matches the Rfam family "Bacterial small subunit ribosomal RNA", at positions 356 to 774 of the family's 1533-position model. The record is from RNAcentral. Lineage: Bacteria; Pseudomonadati; Pseudomonadota.
GGGGAAUAUUGGGCAAUGGGGGAAACCCUGACCCAGCAACGCCGCGUGAAGGAAGAAGGCUUUCGGGUUGUAAACUUCUUUGACGAGGGACGAAAGAAAUGACGGUACCUCGAAAACAAGCCACGGCUAACUACGUGCCAGCAGCCGCGGUAAUACGAAGGGGGCUAGCGUUGUUCGGAAUUACUGGGCGUAAAGCGCACGUAGGCGGGCAUUUAAGUCAGGGGUGAAAUCCCAGAGCUCAACUCUGGAACUGCCUUUGAUACUGGGUGUCUUGAGUAUGGAAGAGGUAAGUGGAAUUCCGAGUGUAGAGGUGAAAUUCGUAGAUAUUCGGAGGAACACCAGUGGCGAAGGCGGCUUACUGGUCCAUUACUGACGCUGAGGUGCGAAAGCGUGGGGAGCAAACA